RNAcentral lists this ribosomal RNA (433 nucleotides) under uncultured bacterium. RNAcentral's name for it is "partial 16S ribosomal RNA". It matches the Rfam family "Bacterial small subunit ribosomal RNA", at positions 29 to 507 of the family's 1533-position model. The record is from RNAcentral.
AACGAACGCUGGCGGCAUGCCUAACACAUGCAAGUCGAACGAGACCUUCGGGUCUAGUGGCGCACGGGUGCGUAACGCGUGGGAACCUGCCCUUAGGUUCGGAAUAACUCCCCGAAAGGGGUGCUAAUACCGGAUAAUGUCUUCGGACCAAAGAUUUAUCGCCUUUGGAUGGGCCCGCGUUGGAUUAGCUAGUUGGAAGGGUAAAAGCCUAUCAAGGCGACGAUCCAUAGCUGGUCUGAGAGGAUGAUCAGCCACACUGGGACUGAGACACGGCCCAGACUCCUACGGGAGGCAGCAGUGGGGAAUAUUGGACAAUGGGCGAAAGCCUGAUCCAGCAAUGCCGCGUGAGUGAUGAAGGCCUUAGGGUUGUAAAGCUCUUUUACCCGGGAUGAUAAUGACAGUACCGGGAGAAUAAGCUCCGGCUAACUCCGUG